This 81-nucleotide microRNA precursor is filed under the name Notamacropus eugenii (tammar wallaby). RNAcentral's name for it is "miRNA (ENSMEUG00000017113.1)". The record is from RNAcentral. Lineage: Eukaryota; Metazoa; Chordata; Mammalia; Diprotodontia; Macropodidae.
AUGUGUGUGUAUGUGUGUGUGUAUCUCCAUAUCUAUCUAUUCAUAUACACAUACAUAUGCAUAUGUAAGUGUAGGUAGGUA